RNAcentral lists this ribosomal RNA (447 nucleotides) under uncultured bacterium. RNAcentral describes it as "bacterial SSU rRNA". It matches the Rfam family "Bacterial small subunit ribosomal RNA", at positions 330 to 794 of the family's 1533-position model. The record is from RNAcentral.
ACCAGACUCCUACGGGAGGCAGCAGUGGGGAAUAUUGCACAAUGGGGGAAACCCUGAUGCAGCAACGCCGCGUGAGUGAAGAAGUAUUUCGGUAUGUAAAGCUCUAUCAGCAGGGAAGAAGAUGAUGGUACCUGACCAAGAAGCCCCGGCUAACUACGUGCCAGCAGCCGCGGUAAUACGUAGGGGGCAAGCGUUAUCCGGAUUUACUGGGUGUAAAGGGAGCGCAGACGGCAGUGCAAGUCUGGAGUGAAAGCCCGGGGCUCAACCCCGGAACUGCUCUGGAAACUGUGCGGCUAGAGUACUGGAGGGGCAGGCGGAAUUCCUAGUGUAGCGGUGAAAUGCGUAGAUAUUAGGAGGAACACCAGUGGCGAAGGCGGCUUGCUGGACGACAACUGACGCUGAGGCUCGAAAGCUUGGGGAGCAAACAGGAUUAGAUCCCCCCGUAAU